This 1448-nucleotide long non-coding RNA is filed under the name Homo sapiens (human). RNAcentral describes it as "HSALNT0177425". Lineage: Eukaryota; Metazoa; Chordata; Mammalia; Primates; Hominidae. The record is from RNAcentral.
CUGAUAUGUCUAAAACGUAAGGAAGGAUUGGGUAAGAUUGGCAAGGAGACGUGGACUUCAUUGUCAACAUUUUUUUGAGACGGGGUCUUGCUGUUGCCCAGGCUGGCAUGCAGUAGCAUGAUCACAGCUCACUGCAGCUUCAACCUCCCCCUGCUCCGGUGAUCCCCCCACCUCAGCCUCCUGAGUAGCUGGGACUACAGGUGCAUGCUAAUUUUUUUAAAAUUUUUUUUGUAGAGACAGGGUUUCACCACAUUGCCCAGGCUGGUCUUAAACUCCUGGCUCAAGCGAUCCACCCGCCUUGGCUUCCCAAAGUGCUGGGAUUACAGGUGUGAGCCACUGUGCCCAGCCUAUUGUCGAAUCAUAUUUUCAGUCUCUGGCCGCUUUUACAUGUGGGUAGUGACGUGGCAGCAGACAGGUGUCACUGGCUUCAGGAAGGGCCUGGUGGAGGUGGGUCAGUUUCUAGGUUAACCAGGUUUCUGUUUCAAGAUGCAACUGAUACUAUGACACCCCCCCCACCCCCGAGUCCAACACACCUCUGCUGCAUUCCCUUCAGGCUAAGGUGCAGCCUGCAGCAGUGUACAGAAGGAAUGCCGUGCACAGCAGGGGAUCUGUGUUUGAAAUGAUUUAAAGACACAACGUAUUGCCUGGAGCAAUUCCACUGCGUCUGGAAGAUGCUAGGCUGGUGCCUUGGGAACAGAAUCACAGCAGCUGGAGAGCUGGGCUGAACCCGGGAGCCUCUGCAGGCUCCCCAGUGCAGCCAAGAUCUCUGGAGGAGAGGAGGCCCCUGAAAGGCAGAAGGUAGCGUCCAGGACCAGGGCCCCUGAAAGGCAGAAGGAAGCGUCCAGAACCAGUGAAAUGAGAGUGCAUCAGCCAGCAGAAAAAGGAAACUGAAGGCGUCGACAAGAGCAGCGGCUUUGCAGAGGGAAGCGUCUAGAGACCGUGGGAGCACGCUGGACACCAGCGCUAAGCAGCACUUGCAGUGAGGACCUGGCUGAGCCCCCAGGAUCCCCCCAACGUAGCUGGCCGCCUUGGGGAGCUCUCUUCCCCAACCCACAGAUGCCACCAACCCUGGUGGCAUGACACGACACUCAAGAUUCCCUUGGGAGCGGGGGUCACAGGCCUGGGGCCUGCCAUGAGGCCACGGGGCCUCCUGCUUCCCAUGCUGAUAGCAAACGCGCCUUUCAGAGCCCUUCCCGCAUCUCCUCACUACAGAGCACUUCAUAGGCGCUCACAAUGAAGAAGUGGGGAGAGGGAGAGAAGCAGAUAAAAGGGAAAGCGGAAAUGUGGCAUUUUAGUUAUUUAAUAAAGGUAAACUUGAACUAUAUGAUGCAAUGAUUCAUUUGAAAUCAAUGUUCCAAUAUCAAACUUUAAUUGUGUAAGUUAUGAGAACAGUCAUGCCUUGUGCCCACAGUUUAAAAGACAGCCAUCUAAAAAACUUCUUGGCAAAU